Molecule: ribosomal RNA, 497 nt
Filed under: uncultured bacterium
Lineage: Bacteria
Description: partial 16S ribosomal RNA
Rfam family: Bacterial small subunit ribosomal RNA
Source: RNAcentral
GAUGAACGCUGGCGGCGUGCCUAAUACAUGCAAGUCGAGCGAACAGACGAGGAGCUUGCUCCUCUGACGUUAGCGGCGGACGGGUGAGUAACACGUGGAUAACCUACCUAUAAGACUGGGAUAACUUCGGGAAACCGGAGCUAAUACCGGAUAAUAUAUUGAACCGCAUGGUUCAAUAGUGAAAGACGGUUUUGCUGUCACUUAUCGAUGGAUCCGCGCCGCAUUAGCUAGUUGGGAAGGUAACGGCUUACCAAGGCAACGAUGCGUAGCCGACCUGAGAGGGUGAUCGGCCACACUGGAGCGGAGACACGGUCCAGACUCCUACGGGAGGCAGCAGUAGGGAAUCUUCCGCAAUGGGCGAAAGCCUGACGGAGCAACGCCGCGUGAGUGAUGAAGGUCUUCCGAUCGUAAAACUCUGUUAUUAGUGAAGAACAAAUGUGUAAGUAACUAUGCACGUCUUGACGGUACCUAGUCAGAAAGCCACGGCUAACUACGUG